Medicago truncatula (barrel medic) is the source of this 167-nucleotide microRNA precursor. It matches the Rfam family "MIR2619 microRNA precursor family". The record is from Rfam. NCBI's taxonomy places the organism in Eukaryota, Viridiplantae, Streptophyta, Magnoliopsida, Fabales, Fabaceae.
AAACAGCCCCCUAUGUUUUGAUUCUUAAGCAGUUUUGGACCCCCAAGGCAAAAAAAAAAAAAAUUGACACGUGGCACCUCACUUAGGGUGCCACGUCAGUGUUGACCGAGUCAAUAAUGAACUGGGGGUCCAAAACUGCCAAAGAAUCAAAACAUAGGGGGCUGUUU